CCUACGGGGGGCAGCAGUGGGGAAUAUUGGACAAUGGGCGAAAGCCUGAUCCAGCCAUGCCGCGUGUGUGAAGAAGGCCUUCGGGUUGUAAAGCACUUUCAGUGGGGAAGAAAGCCUUGGGGCUAAUACCCUCGAGGAAGGACAUCACCCACAGAAGAAGCACCGGCUAACUCCGUGCCAGCAGCCGCGGUAAUACGGAGGGUGCGAGCGUUAAUCGGAAUUACUGGGCGUAAAGCGCGCGUAGGCGGUCUGAUAAGCCGGUUGUGAAAGCCCCGGGCUCAACCUGGGAACGGCAUCCGGAACUGUCAGGCUAGAGUGCAGGAGAGGAAGGUAGAAUUCCCGGUGUAGCGGUGAAAUGCGUAGAGAUCGGGAGGAAUACCAGAGGCGAAGGCGGCCUUCUGGACUGACACUGACGCUGAGGUGCGAAAGCGUGGGUAGCAAACAGGAUUAGAUACCCUUGUAGUC
RNAcentral lists this ribosomal RNA (465 nucleotides) under Vreelandella stevensii. Its description in RNAcentral is "partial 16S ribosomal RNA". It matches the Rfam family "Bacterial small subunit ribosomal RNA", at positions 338 to 795 of the family's 1533-position model. The record is from RNAcentral. Lineage: Bacteria; Pseudomonadati; Pseudomonadota; Gammaproteobacteria; Oceanospirillales; Halomonadaceae.